This 305-nucleotide ribosomal RNA is filed under the name uncultured bacterium. RNAcentral's name for it is "bacterial SSU rRNA". It matches the Rfam family "Bacterial small subunit ribosomal RNA", at positions 333 to 635 of the family's 1533-position model. The record is from RNAcentral.
CAAUACCUACGGGGGGCAGCAGUGAGGAAUAUUGGUCAAUGGACGAGAGUCUGAACCAGCCAAGUAGCGUGAAGGAUGACUGCUCUACGGGUCGUAAACCUCUUUUGCCGGGGAGCAAGGGCCGGGACGCGUCCCGGCCCGGAGAGUACCCGGAGAAAAAGCAUCGGCUAACUCCGUGCCAGCAGCCGCGGUAAUACGGAGGAUGCGAGCGUUAUCCGGAUUUAUUGGGUUUAAAGGGGGCGCAGGCGGGCUUUUAAGUCAGCGGUAAAAAUUGGGGGCUCAACCCCGUCCGGCCGUUGAAACUG